This is an RNA transcript of Mauremys reevesii (Reeves's turtle), 596 nucleotides long. It is a transcript of the gene named phospholipase A2 inhibitor and Ly6/PLAUR domain-containing protein-like, with no coding region annotated. The transcript is spliced from 3 exons. The record is from RefSeq and is a predicted model, not a curated record. Lineage: Eukaryota; Metazoa; Chordata; Testudines; Geoemydidae.
GUUCACGGGCUUCUCCAGAGACUGUCUGAGUGACUAUACUAGUGGCAUAAAAGAUCUCAUCACUCUCACUGCUGGGAAGGACAAGUAUCUGAGGAUCAGCACCACACGAUGCAACAACGCAGAUAACUGUAACUCGGGCACACUGGCAGCACCCAAGGGGAGCACCACCGCGAAUGGGCUGCAGUGCCCAACCUGCUUCGCUCUGAACUCUGAUCCCUGCCACAGCCAAAUCACCCCUUGUACCGGGAACGAGACCUAUUGCGUCAAUUUCGCUGGGUAUCUAGUGAAAGCUCCUUCAUAUGAAGCAACAUUUGUUGCAAAAGGCUGCGCUACUGCAUCUGCACAAAACAUUAAAAGUGUAACCGCCUUGAGUUCUACCAUCUACACGUACGUGUUCACCCAGGCGAUCUCCAAACCUGCAGAGAAAGCCACCAGUGGGGCCAGCCCGGCUCUGGGGAGAUUCUCCUUCACCCUCUACCUGCCUGGCCUGACUGGGCUGCUGCUGGUGAAGCUGCUCUUCUGACCCCCGCCCGGCACGGCCCCACAGCACCUGGAGCCUGCGAAUAAAGGCCUGAAGUCCCAGCUGCACCCCCUCU